This 301-nucleotide ribosomal RNA is filed under the name uncultured bacterium. RNAcentral describes it as "partial 16S ribosomal RNA". It matches the Rfam family "Bacterial small subunit ribosomal RNA", at positions 509 to 809 of the family's 1533-position model. The record is from RNAcentral.
CAGUAGCCGCGGUAAUACGUAGGUGGCAAGCGUUGUCCGGAAUUAUUGGGCGUAAAGGGCUCGCAGGCGGUUUCUUAAGUCUGAUGUGAAAGCCCCCGGCUCAACCGGGGAGGGUCAUUGGAAACUGGGAAACUUGAGUGCAGAAGAGGAGAGUGGAAUUCCACGUGUAGCGGUGAAAUGCGUUGAGAUCGGAAAGAACACCAACGGCGAAAGCACUCUGCUGGGCCGACACUGACACUGAGAGACGAAAGCUAGGGGAGCAAAUGGGAUUAGAUACCCCUGUAGUCCCUGUCUCUUAUAA